AACGAACGUUAGCGGCGCGCCUAACACAUGCAAGUCGCACGAGAAAGGGCUUCGGCCCCGGUACAGUGGCGCACGGGUGAGUAACACGUGGGUAAUCUGCAUUCGGGUGGGGGAUAACAUUCCGAAAGGAGUGCUAAUACCGCAUAAGACCACGCGCUCGAAAGAGAAAGCGGUCAAAGCUGGCCUCUAUAUAUAAGCUAGCGCCUGGAAAUGAGCCCGCGGCCCAUCAGCUAGUUGGUAGGGUAAUGGCCUACCAAGGCUUAGACGGGUAGCUGGUCUGAGAGGAUGAUCAGCCACACUGGAACUGAGACACGGUCCAGACUCCUACGGGAGGCAGCAGUGGGGAAUCUUGCGCAAUGGGCGAAAGCCUGACGCAGCGACGCCGCGUGAGUGAUGAAGGCCUU
This 404-nucleotide ribosomal RNA is filed under the name uncultured bacterium. RNAcentral describes it as "bacterial SSU rRNA". It matches the Rfam family "Bacterial small subunit ribosomal RNA", at positions 29 to 418 of the family's 1533-position model. The record is from RNAcentral.